Molecule: ribosomal RNA, 432 nt
Filed under: uncultured bacterium
Lineage: Bacteria
Description: partial 16S ribosomal RNA
Rfam family: Bacterial small subunit ribosomal RNA
Source: RNAcentral
ACGCACGCUGGCGGCCUGCCUAACACAUGCAAGUCGAACGAGACCUUCGGGUCUAGUGGCGCACGGGUGCGUAACGCGUGGGAACCUGCCCUUAGGUUCGGAAUAACUCCCCGAAAGGGGUGCUAAUACCGGAUAAUGUCUUCGGACCAAAGAUUUAUCGCCUUUGGAUGGGCCCGCGUUGGAUUAGCUAGUUGGUAGGGUAAAAGCCUACCAAGGCGACGAUCCAUAGCUGGUCUGAGAGGAUGAUCAGCCACACUGGGACUGAGACACGGCCCAGACUCCUACGGGAGGCAGCAGUGGGGAAUAUUGGACAAUGGGCGAAAGCCUGAUCCAGCAAUGCCGCGUGAGUGAUGAAGGCCUUAGGGUUGUAAAGCUCUUUUACCCGGGAUGAUAAUGACAGUACCGGGAGAAUAAGCUCCGGCUAACUCCGUG